UAGGGAAUCUUCGGCAAUGGACGAAAGUCUGACCGAGCAACGCCGCGUGAGUGAAGAAGGUUUUCGGAUCGUAAAACUCUGUUGUUAGAGAAGAACAAGGACGUUAGUAACUGAACGUCCCCUGACGGUAUCUAACCAGAAAGCCGCGGCUAACUACGUGCCAGCAGCCGCGGUAAUACGUAGGUGGCAAGCGUUGUCCGGAUUUAUUGGGCGUAAAGCGAGCGCAGGCGGUUUCUUAAGUCUGAUGUGAAAGCCCCCGGCUCAACCGGGGAGGGUCAUUGGAAACUGGGAGACUUGAGUGCAGAAGAGGAGAGUGGAAUUCCAUGUGUAGCGGUGAAAUGCGUAGAUAUAUGGAGGAACACCAGUGGCGAAGGCGGCUCUCUGGUCUGUAACUGACGCUGAGGCUCGAAAGCGUGGGGAGCAAACAGG
This 429-nucleotide ribosomal RNA is filed under the name Gemmatimonadota bacterium. RNAcentral describes it as "Gemmatimonadetes bacterium partial 16S ribosomal RNA". It matches the Rfam family "Bacterial small subunit ribosomal RNA", at positions 355 to 776 of the family's 1533-position model. The record is from RNAcentral. Lineage: Bacteria; Pseudomonadati; Gemmatimonadota.